This 1491-nucleotide ribosomal RNA is filed under the name uncultured rumen bacterium. Its description in RNAcentral is "bacterial SSU rRNA". It matches the Rfam family "Bacterial small subunit ribosomal RNA". The record is from RNAcentral.
AGAGUUUGAUCCUGGCUCAGGAUGAACGCUAGCGGCAGGCUUAACACAUGCAAGUCGAGGGGCAGCGGGUCCAGCAAUGGAUGCCGGCGACCGGCGCACGGGUGAGUAACGCGUAUCCAACCUUCCCUAUAGUAGAGGAUAGCCCGGCGAAAGUCGGAUUAAUACUCUAUGUUGUAUUUAGAAGACAUCUGAAGAAUACCAAAGGUUUACCGCUAUAGGAUGGGGAUGCGUCUGAUUAGGUUGUUGGCGGGGUAACGGCCCACCAAGCCUUCGAUCAGUAGGGGUUCUGAGAGGAAGGUCCCCCACAUUGGAACUGAGACACGGUCCAAACUCCUACGGGAGGCAGCAGUGAGGAAUAUUGGUCAAUGGGCGCGAGCCCGAACCAGCCAAGUAGCGUGCAGGAUGACGGCCCUAUGGGUUGUAAACUGCUUUUAUAUAGGGAUAAAGUCACCCACGUGUGGGUGUUUGUAGGUACUAUAUGAAUAAGGACCGGCUAAUUCCGUGCCAGCAGCCGCGGUAAUACGGAGGGUGCAAGCGUUAAUCGGAAUAACUGGGCGUAAAGGGCAUGCAGGCGGUUAAACAAGUAGGAUGUGAAAUCCCCGGGCUCAACCUGGGAGCUGCAUACUAAACUGUUUAACUAGAGUAUUGCAGGGGGAGACGGAAUUCCAGGUGUAGCGGUGGAAUGCGUAGAUAUCUGGAAGAACACCAAAGGCGAAGGCAGUCUCCUGGGCAAAUACUGACGCUCAUAUGCGAAAGCGUGGGUAGCAAACAGGAUUAGAUACCCUGGUAGUCCACGCCGUAAACGAUGUCAAUUAGGAGCUUGUGCGAUAGUAUGGGUUCCGCAGCAAACGCGAUAAAUUGACCGCCUGGGGAGUACGGCCGCAAGGUUAAAACUCAAAUGAAUUGACGGGGGCCCGCACAAGCGGUGGAGCAUGUGGUUUAAUUCGACGCAACGCGAAGAACCUUACCUGACCUUGACAUAGUGAGAACCUCUCUGAAGGGAGAGGGCGCCUUCGGGAGCUCACAUACAGGUGCUGCAUGGCUGUCGUCAGCUCGUGUCGUGAGAUGUUGGGUUAAGUCCCGCAACGAGCGCAACCCUUGUCCUUUGUUGCCAGCGGGUAAAGCCGGGAACUCAAAGGAGACUGCCAGUGACAAACUGGAGGAAGGCAGGGAUGACGUCAAGUCAUCAUGGCCCUUACGGUCAGGGCUACACACGUGCUACAAUGGGGCGUACAGAGGGAAACGAUACCGCGAGGUGGAGUGGAACCCACAAAGCGUCCCUAAGUUCGGAUUGGAGUCUGCAACUCGACUCCAUGAAGUCGGAAUCGCUAGUAAUCGCAAAUCAGAAUGUUGCGGUGAAUACGUUCCCGGGCCUUGUACACACCGCCCGUCACACCAUGGGAGUGGAUUGCACCAGAAGUAGCUAGCUUAACAGCAAUGAGGGCGGUUACCACGGUGUGGUUUAUGACUGGGGUGAAGUCGUAACAAGGU